GUUUAACUAGGGGGUUUCUUUUACAUGAGGAAAAAAGUGUUGCUUUCUAUCUGAAGUUUGGGAUGCUAUUUUUUCUGUUAAAAUUAUAGCAUGCUAUGUCAAAGAGUGUUGGGUAGACUGAAGAGCCUGUUUUAAGAAAAACUUUAAAAAAAAUCUUCCUAUAAACCAUUUGUCUUCAUAGGUCUGGACAAUUGUUUUUGCUCCAAACCAGCUGGAUACAAGCCACUUCUUGUUCAAAAGCCAUGUGGCAAAAUGACUGGACUAUGAGCUGAAGCUACUCUGUCCUGCCUCUUGGUUCAGUUAAGCACCAGCCAGUGGUAAAGAAAGAAGCGAAGGCAUCAACUGCGAGGCAAGAGUGGUGCAGAAGAGGUGCAGAGGAGCAAAGAGAAAGGCACACUGGGCAAAUGGCUGUCCCGGUCGUCAGGUCUGCGGACAUGUAAGAAAAGCAUGGCCGGCACCUUUGGUGUCCUCGCCAGCUUUGCAAAUUGGAGAGAAGGAGCUUCCGUUUGCCUUUGGGACCAGGGCUGCCCCAUAACUCGGGGCCCAGCCAGUGCCCUAGUGUCCACUUUGUGGUCCAGGCAGGGGCUUGAGCCCCCUAUAAGCAGGGGUGCAGCCUGUCUGGCUGCUGCUUUGCCUGCCCAGCUCUGUUUGCCCAGGGUGCCCGCCUCUGAGCCCAGCUCCAGCACCAGCUGGACCUCUUGUACGUGUCCUUCAGUGGCAGCCGGUGGCGAAGAAAGAAGAGGCAUCAUGUGGAACUGUGAGGCAAGAGUGAUGAAGUAAAGGUCUGAAAUGAAAGAUGCUCCCUGGGAAUGCUUGUUAAAAGAAGAAGUACUUCUGUCUGCAUCUGGUGAAGUCAGCCCCAAAGUAGAUGAAAUACUAAACAGCACUGGCCAGAGAUUAUGCACCCUGAUGCUCAUAGUGUCCCGACUACUAUUGGAAAAUGGUUGUCCAUGUGUUUUUGUUAAUGAAUUGACCAGACGGAGAAAAAAAUACAGAGAAUAUACAGAAAUCCCUACUAAAAAAGUAAUUAACCAUAUGUUUGAACCAGAGCUUCCUCAUUCUCUAAACAUCUUUCUGCUUAACCUAACAGCUGGGGCACAUGUGAGGUACCUUUCCAUCCUGCUGAGAUGCCUCACUGACUUCAGAGAGGGAUCUAAGAUGUGAGAAUGUAAAACCAUACUUCACCUAUUUUAAAAGCCCAUACAUCUCAAAACAGAAGAGGGGACAAAAAAAUCUUUCAUAUGUGUAUUUCAUGACAGUCCAAUCAGAAGUAAAACAGAAAUGUUGUGAAGAGAAAUAGUAGGCCAUGUACCAUCAAAACUGUGGCAUACGUGGUCUGCCUUUGUGCUAUUAUAUAAAACAUGACUGAUUCCAGACAAAAUCUGGGAUCUUUUAAGCAUAUUGUUCUUCAGCCUCACAGAAGGAUAAUCCUGUUGAGUGAAGUAUGGUUAUUUGUUUAUGCCAUUUUAAGCACAAAUGUUGUCUAAUGGAUUGGAAUGCAUGUAUGUCUUCUAAAAUUUGGCUGCAACUGCAUGGGUAAUUUGACUUGCAUAGCAGUGCAUUUUGAAGUGAAUCUCCCAUCUGCUCAAUUUCCUUUUUUUUUUUUUUUUUUUUUUUUUUUUGACUCAUGAAAAGAUUCAAGUAGUCAUGAAGUUCAAAACCAGCACCAGUGGUGUUUCAGGUAAGGUCAAGUAGUGCAAGUAGUGUUUACACAGUAGAUAUAUUCAAACCAGACUAAAUCUUGUCUGAAGAAACUCUUUCUACAACACACUU
RNAcentral lists this long non-coding RNA (1773 nucleotides) under Anas platyrhynchos platyrhynchos (common mallard). RNAcentral describes it as "lncRNA (ENSAPLG00000018015.1)". The record is from RNAcentral. Lineage: Eukaryota; Metazoa; Chordata; Aves; Anseriformes; Anatidae.